GCCUUCAUGGUGUAAUGGUAGCACACUCGGCUCGUAUGCGAAAGGUCCAGGUUCGAGUCUCGGUGGCGGCA
Molecule: transfer RNA, 71 nt
Filed under: Stegodyphus mimosarum
Lineage: Eukaryota; Metazoa; Arthropoda; Arachnida; Araneae; Eresidae
Rfam family: tRNA
About the family: Transfer RNA (tRNA) molecules are approximately 80 nucleotides in length. Their secondary structure includes four short double-helical elements and three loops (D, anti-codon, and T loops).
Source: Rfam by way of RNAcentral